RNAcentral lists this long non-coding RNA (1998 nucleotides) under Podarcis muralis (Common wall lizard). Its description in RNAcentral is "lncRNA (ENSPMRG00000020305.1)". Lineage: Eukaryota; Metazoa; Chordata; Lepidosauria; Squamata; Lacertidae. The record is from RNAcentral.
AUGAACCAGGGGCCAUCUAGCCUGACCCUUGCAGAUGGGAACCAUAGAUAUAUAAACAGAGGAGAUGGGACCCUGCAAGAGGCAGUGGUGGCCACCAACUUGCAACUUCCGCUCAGGAUUUUCCCCAGGGUAAGCCCCAUUUCAGCCAGCAUACUCUGCACCCUCCUCAAAUGCUUUGGCCUGGUUGGGAGGUUUCCUGGUGUUAACGGAAAAAUUUGAGGGCUCCCUUGGACAAAAACAAAGACACCAACCAGGAUAACUUGGAGCAAAACAGCAGCCUGUAGGCUUGGCCUUUAUUGAUCUGUUGCAACAGGGUGCUCCCCUCACUUGCAGGAGAGAGGAAGGACCCAGAAAAAUGGUGUGCAAGACCUUAUAAAGACUUUUGAAAUUGCCACCCUGUAGAUCAAGACCACCCCCAGAAACAUACAUCACAGAAAGGAGGGGUUGAGGGAGGAGUUGUGGUGGUAACCUGAGUGUCCUGUCUUCUGGCUGGUUCCCCCUUUCCCCCCAUGAGUAUUUUCCAGGUGACAGAGGGGAGUUUGCAGUUUCCUGCCCCCAGAGGGAAGAGCUGAUUAUUGUCCUUUGUUCCUGUCCCUGCCGAAUCCACUCCCAUAUGCAAGUUCUUUGGGAUCUUGAUGGUCUUCUGUCUAGGACCAUCAGGGUUGGCAUAGCAACUGGGCAGGGCUCCUGUGUAUGUGCUGGUAUGCUGAAGGGAUUAUGGCUGCCCUGUAUCAAACCUUCCCCAUUUUGUAGUCCUUCCUUCAUGGAGUAAAAUAAAAGUGGAACAGUGCAAAGUGGAACAGUGCAAAUCCGAUGUAUGGUUGAUUUUCUAUGAAUUUAUAACAGAAGUGUAGCGUAUGUAGUGUGUGAGUGAAGUUUGUAAAAACUGAAUGAUUGGGGGGGGGUUUCCUGCGACACUGGUAACCCCCUCCCUUCUGGUGGCACCAAUGUUCCCCUGGCCUCAAAUGCCCCCUUGACCGCUCACCGCAACCCCAUUCAUCUCCACCGUCGCCACAGUCCUUGGUGUGGGCAGGGGCCACGCAGCUGCUUGGCAGGCACGGCUCACCUGGGGCGCCGGUCCGGGGACCUGGAAAUGUUGGGACGAUUAAUGGGUUGCCUCCAAGCAAUCUAUCUGGUUGGUCAGGUUUUGGGGAGGCGGAAAAUAAAGUUUUACUUUGGGGCCGACAGUUCCUGAACUACACGUUGUCCAGUGCCACACUCAUCACCGAGAAGGUCACCUGCGCUCUUGACAUGCUCCAGAUAAGGAGCGGCCGGGGAGGGUGAGGAGCCCAAGACCCACCUGGAAAGCACUGCGGAUUCUUCCGGUGUAGGCCAGCAGGGGGCGCCGGGCGCCUAAGGGUGACGCAGGGCUUCGCCACAGGGGAUAAUCUGGCUUCCAUGGCUCAGCUCCACUGGGAAGCUCCCGUUGAGUCCUGCAGGGGAAGGGCGGAGGGGUGAUGAACCAGGGGCCAUCUAGCCUGACCCUUGAAGAUGGGAACCAUAGAUAUAUAAACAGAGGAGAUGGGACCCUGCAAGAAUUGCAGAAUGACAUCUAGUCUCAACCGCUCUCAUUUUUAUCGGUCAGCUGCCAGGAAUCCCAAAGGGGGACGGGAAGCAGGGCAUCAGUAAAUUUCAUGAUAAGAAUGGUAUUUCAUUAUGCCGGCCCUACCAGGCGGUCAGUAGUCUGGAAAUCAAUAAAUAAUAAUUAUAUGAUAGCACCAUGAUAUGUCCUGCAGCUUAGAAAUGUAAUAUGUGAUAUCAAUAUGGAAUUAUGACAACUGUGCCUGGUGGCAUUUCCUCCACACAGGGAAAAAGGCCAAGUACAUGGCUCUGCCUGUUGGAUUUCUGACCACCAGUGCCCCAAGCUUACCUUUCUCGGCCAUACUGUACCAGAUGCGGAGUUCACAGGCUGUGGCUGUGUCACUCACGGUCAGGGAGCGGAGUCAGGCGGCUUGGUUCACUGCUCCGAGGUGCUCAUGUACCAGCCUGGUUGGGGGG